This is a long non-coding RNA of Alnus glutinosa, 1690 nucleotides long. RefSeq lists it as uncharacterized. The record is from RefSeq and is a predicted model, not a curated record. The transcript is spliced from 3 exons. Lineage: Eukaryota; Viridiplantae; Streptophyta; Magnoliopsida; Fagales; Betulaceae.
AUCUUCUCUUCACUCUUCACAGUUCAAACCGUCGCCCAUCUUCUAUUCUUCUUUCCUUCUUUCUUCUUCUCUUCUGAAUCUCUGAUCCACGCCCAGUGCCACGCCGACGACGCCCACUCCCCAGUGCCCACGCCAGCUCUCGCCAGACAGAUCUUCAGCAACAAUGAAGGUGCGGUCAUCAGUUAAGAAGAUGUGUGAGUUCUGUAAGAUAGUGAAACGCCGUGGUCGUAUUUAUGUAAUAUGCACAGCUAAUCCUAAGCACAAGCAACGACAAGGCAUGUCAACAUUUGCAUAUGAAGGCCCUCCUCCUACAUCUUCGGACACCAGUACCAGACUGGAGAUGGUGACUGGUCACAAUUUACGGGCUGGUCUGGCUUCUCUCAUUCCCAAAAAGCAGGAGCCAGCGACAAUGUAUCGAUGGAGUGCAGGCCUUGCAUCCCUUCUUUUUUUGAGGAGUCUUGCAUCCCUUCUGUUCAAGAAGGUAAACUAGCUUUCCUCCUAUUCGGAAGGGUGAGAAUGAAAUGGUACAAGGGUGAAGUUAGAUAAAUUUUGUCGUCCAUUGACCUUUCUGGUGUAUUCUCUGUUUCAUUUUGAUGCUAUAUUCUUAUGCACUAGUGGGGAGGGAGUGAUAAAAAAGAAAAAGAAACAAGAGAAAGUAGUAACUUAUGCUCUGUUUGUUUCAGUGUAAAAUGAUUUUUGUCGUAAAAUAUUUUCUAGGAAGUUAUUUUUCAGGAAAGUAUUUUUCGCCGAAAACAUUUUUCGGCGUUUGGCGUGUACGGAAAAUCACAAUUUUUAUUUAUUUUUUUUUUCAUUCAAUCAUAUUAAUUUAUAAAAAUCAAUUUUUAUUCACAACAUAAAAAUAUUAAUGUAAAAUAAUAUUAAAAAAAACAACUAAAAGAUUAUGUUUAACUAAGAUAUACAUAUUGACUAACAAUAAUUUGUUUCAAAAAAAAAAAUGAGUAUUUUACAAAUUGGGAUUUAAAAAAAUUAUUUUUAAAGUGGUCAGAAUCUGGCCAUUUUGUGCCGGAUUCCGGCCAUGCCAGAAUGGUUGGGAUUCGGUCGGCUUCCGGCCAGUGUGGCCGGAAUCUGGCAUAGCAUCGCCGGAAUCUGGCACAGCAUCGCCGGAAUCCGAUGACGAUGGCCGGUCAUCGCCAGAGUCUGACCAGUGUCGGAAUAUAGCUUGUCGGAAUACGGUGAUGGCUGCCUGAUUCCAGCGAUGGUCGACUGCUUGAGGGUGAAGGUUAACUGCGUCAUUUAAAAGAGGGUCGACUGUAUUUGUCGUCUGGAAAAAAUGAUUUAUGCUUUUAAAAAGCAUAAAUCAUUUUUUAAAAAUUUACUGAACGUUUUUGGUUAAAUAGAAAUUAUUUUUCGGUUGACUAUUAUUUUCGCCUCACCAAACAUCGAAAAGUGCCGAAAUUAUUUUUCAAAAAUUAUUUUACACUAAAACAAACAGAACAUAAACAAGAUUUCCUGGGAGUAGAGAUGACAAAUGUUCUUCAAUUCUUGGGAGGUUCAUACUUUGAUAAAGUAAUGGAAUGAAAAAGCUUCUGUAUCAUUUCUGCACUUCGUGCUACUCACUGCAAGCUUGAUUUGGUACUCUAUUAGCUGUACUUUAUAUUUUAAAAAACUAUGUGGAUAGUUCAUUGUGCUCUCAUUAGUGAUUGAUAUUGAAAUGUAGACCAUCCAAAAA